Long non-coding RNA from Brachypodium distachyon (stiff brome), 4053 nucleotides. RefSeq lists it as uncharacterized. The record is from RefSeq and is a predicted model, not a curated record. NCBI's taxonomy places the organism in Eukaryota, Viridiplantae, Streptophyta, Magnoliopsida, Poales, Poaceae. The transcript has 3 exons.
CCCGCAGCCAGGGGCGCGCUGCGGCCUUCCGCCCGUGCGCUGCCUCAUGACUUCGUGAGGACGACAAUUGCAGACCUCCAGCGACGGCUGAAGCCAGCCAGGGCCGCCCCGCGCGCCGCCGCCGCCGCUCGCCAUCGCAAGCUGCCGUGCGCCCGCUGCUCCUCUUCCCCAAUUUCUUUUUCCAGGUGUUUUUUCCUUCUUUUCCAUGAAUAUGUUUUCACUUUUAGAAAUUGCAACAGCCAUGGGGAAGAUAAUGCAUCUUCUAUCUACUAGUGCCACCUUGAUUCCUAGAAACAAAUUCAGAGGAUUCAAAGCUAAAGAUAUACUGUAUGUGGGAUGGUGAAAAAGUAUUACCCAGCAGAUUUCCCCCAAGAUAUUUAUGCAUUGCAACAACAGGUAAACUAUUUUGUUGUGGACGCUUCCAAAGAUGAAGAGUUAAAAAAUAUAUCAACCUUAAUUGAUCUUCGUCGAUGCCUUGUGGAGACAGGAAGACAUACUAUCUACAAUCUGAUUGAAAGGCUGUUCCGUUUGCUCAUUACUCUCCCGGUUUCUACGGCGAGUGCUGAGCGUGCAUUUUCUAGUAUCAAAAUCAUUAAACAAGGUUGCGCAAUAAGAUGGAAGAUGAUUAUCUUGCCAAUAAUCUGUUAGUUAACAUAGAGGGUGACAUUCUGGAGACAUACACCUAUUAGGGAGGAGGUUUGCAAUGAACUCAAUAUUCUCACAGAAGGCCCUCUCGGACAAGUACUUGGUUCUGCCGGCCCUGGUGGGCGCAGACAAAUCUGACUGUUUCCGGUUCUUAGUGGAUAGAGUAUUGAAGAGAACGUCUGGCUAGAAGGAGAAGAUGUUGUCGAUUGGGGGAAAAGAGGUCCUGAUAAAAGCUACUUGCCCAGGCCAUCCCAUCUUAUGCAAUGUCGGUCCUCAAAAUCCCGAAAUCCACUUGUAAAGGGAUAACGGAUGCAAUGUCUCGAUUCUGGUGGGGUGACGACGGCGAUCAUAGAAGGAUGCAUUGGUUUGCUUGGUGAAAGCUCUUUAUUCCGAAGAAACAUGGCGGGAUGGGCUUCCGGGAUAUUCACUGCUUCAACUUGGCUCUGCUGGCCAAGCAAGCAUGGAGGUUGAUUGAUUCACCGGAGUUGUUUUGCGCUUCCAUCCUUAGACCCAAGUACUUUCCGGAUGGCAAUCUCCUCAAUGCAAAUUUAAAGAAAGGUGCCUCCUUUACGUGGCAGAGUAUGAUGGCGAAGUGAGGACUCUGAAGCUCGGCGUUAUUUGGGAGUUGGCGAUGGAAAUAAGAUUGAUAUAUGCCGUGAUCCUUGGGUUCCUGGAUGCUCUGCUAGAAAAUUCUUAGACAAGGGACUAAUUCUUUACUACUGUAAACACACAGUUUACCCAUGAUUCACCGUCCACUCGUUGUGGGCCGUCCAUGGGUUCAGAAUUCAGAUCCCUCUUGACCUAGCGGCGUGGACGACGGCGGUCGCAGGUCGGCAGGGGUGAUGGCGACGGUCAAGGCGGUAACCGCAUCUCAUCUCUUCACAAAUCUUAUCAUCUCCCUCAUCACCCCCCAUCGACGCCCUCCUCUCAACAAAACCGCCAUGCUUUUCCAUUGCUCAUGGGCCAUCAACGACCCAUCCCUGAACCCAUGGGUGGAUCCAGGAUAAAAAUUAAGAGGGGGCAACAAUGUGUUCAUGAACUAGUCGGACAACUGAGAGUGGGGGCAGCUUCUCUAUACCCAAGCUUGGUACAAAGGGAGUGAAAAAAUCGAGAGGGGGCAGCUGCCCCCACGGCUUCUAUGCUGGAUACGCCCAUGCCUGAACCGCCCCCUCGAUCCCGGUUCUGAGUAGCGCAAGGUAAACUGCUUCUCCAUCUGCGCACUACUCAGUUCUUCUUCUUCUUAAUUUAUUCACCUCUUCAGUAUGCACAGAUCGAUUUGGAUUGGCAUGGCAUGUUCCAUUGAUACAGGGUUCAGGUGAGGAACAAAGGGGCAGCGAGGAGAAGAGGGGGAGAUGAGGCUGCAGCAGAGAGGAAGAGGAGACACUGCGGCCGGCGGCCGGGCGGAGGAAUUCAAUGUUGGGGAAUUAUCCACCACCUCUUGAUUUUAACUUGGUACGUCUCUAUUGGCCGUAAGCAAGAGGACACUGAGAUAAUAUAUGGAAUUGCUGUUGACAAAGAUAUGAGCCACUCACAAAUGCCAAAGAGAAUUGAGGAUGCUAAUAUUGCCAUCUUGACCUGCCCAUUUGAGCCCCUGAAUCCCCAAGACAAAUCGUAGAAAAUUUCCGGACUUUGCAUGAGCAAGAGCAGAAGUACUCUGAUGAAAUGGUUCAGAAAUGCAAGGCUGCAUGUUUGAUUCGGUCAAUAGGCUGCCACCAUGUUUGUUUUUUUACAUUCUUGAUGACUGGCUCAGACCUCCAAAUCAUCUACUCCAGAAAUAAAGGUCUGUAUUCUUCUUUUCGCUGUGCUAUUGAGAAACUGAUGUCCAACCAAUUACUAAGCUAUGUGGAACUACUACCUGCAAUUUCAAGAAAAUCACCGCGUACUCCUUACACUCCUGAGCCUGCCUUUUUAGUUUUUACUAUAUAUAAAUAGGAAGAUGUUCCCAUUUGUAUCCUGAAGCUUGUAUAAUGGUUAAAUAUAGAUCUUCGGCUCAGAGCCAUAUAUCUCUACGUCUAGUUUUUUGUUUAGCAAAUACAAAUUAGUUCAUGUGUCUUUUUAGUUUGAAUAAUACAGAGCAGAAAAAAGGAGUCUCUUUUCCUCUCAAGAUGAGAGUAAGUAACCACAAUUCUUCUCUCUUGGUAGCAAUGUAAGUUUCAAUCACUCAGUUAUGGUGCAUAUAACAGUAAUGAGCAUGGGCUGAAUGCAGGAGCAGCUUCGUAUUUGCUCAAUAUAUUUUCUUUGGAUGCUUACAUUGUCACUUGUUUUUUUUAUUUAUGCUACACUUUACUUCUUAGUAGUAAUUACAUAAUUUAUGAUUUUUCUUACAUCUAUUAAGGGAAGAUGCCGAGGGAAACCCUAAGGACACUACAGGUUAUGUUGAGGCGGAUUCCUAUGGUCAAAUAUAUUAGCAGCAAAUAUUUACGUUUUUAAUGUCAACAUUGUCAAUAUAAUUGUGCGUGCUCCUUUCCUGUUUAUCUGAUUACUCUAUGAAAUACAAGGAUCAAUAAUUAAUUUUAUGAUGGCAUAAUGAUCCAUGGUAGUGUGUUCUCUACUAUUCUUUGAUUUUAUAUUAUCAACUCCAUAUUGCAGAAGUCGUCCUUUUCUGAAUAUUUAGGUUUUUAAUGUCAAAAUUGUCAAUAUAAUCUUGUGUGCUCCUUUCCUGUUUAUCUGAUUACUCUAUGAAAUACAAAGAUCAAUAAUUAAUUUUAUGAUGGCACAAUGAUCCAAGGUAGUGUGUUCUCUACUCUUCUUUGAUUUUACAAUAUCAACUCAAUAUUGAAGAAGUCGUCCUUUUUUCUUUAGAUUUUGGCAUUUCAGGACCAUAGUAAAGAUUUGUUUCAUAAGAAAAGAAAUAAAAAAGAGGUUGCGAACCUCCAAACCUUGUGCAGUAAAUAAAGCUUAAGUCUAAAGAAAAUCCGAUCAACUCAUCUCUAUAUUGGAAUCCCUUCAUGUCUUGAGCAUAUUCAAGCCAUGAGAUAUGCAUUGGGAGGUCAAAGGAUUUUAUUUCACCUAAACGAUGCACUCAAGGUAGCGCAAAUCAGCUGAAUGAUGAUUUUCUUUCAGGCGUGGUAUAUUGGUGACAUCAAUCACCAAUAGGUGUUCCAAUGAGCCCAGUUCUACGCUCAUGGGAUGGUGAAGAUCAAUCAUGUACGCAGUGAGAAAGCAAAGUUUUGGUAUGCCUGCAUACGAAGCUAGGCGAGGAAGCAAUUUUUGGUACACCUGCUCAAGUACAAUGGAUAUGAAGCGGAAGACACCAUGCAUCAGGAAAUAGAUAGUCUUAUAAAACAAGUUUUGUUGUGUUCUUACUUUCUAUACAUGUAGUGUUGAACUAUAGCUUUUAAAAACUCAUUUCAAGUUGAAGUGGAGUUUCAAUAUUUUGGAAUACCAUCAGGCUAUUUUUUGUUUGCA